This 758-nucleotide ribosomal RNA is filed under the name Pantoea agglomerans. Its description in RNAcentral is "bacterial SSU rRNA". It matches the Rfam family "Bacterial small subunit ribosomal RNA", at positions 1 to 753 of the family's 1533-position model. The record is from RNAcentral. Lineage: Bacteria; Pseudomonadati; Pseudomonadota; Gammaproteobacteria; Enterobacterales; Erwiniaceae.
AUUGAUUUUUUUUUCUGGCUCAGAUUGAACGCUGGCGGCAGGCCUAACACAUGCAAGUCGGACGGUAGCACAGAGGAGCUUGCUCCUUGGGUGACGAGUGGCGGACGGGUGAGUAAUGUCUGGGGAUCUGCCCGAUAGAGGGGGAUAACCACUGGAAACGGUGGCUAAUACCGCAUAACGUCGCAAGACCAAAGAGGGGGACCUUCGGGCCUCUCACUAUCGGAUGAACCCAGAUGGGAUUAGCUAGUAGGCGGGGUAAUGGCCCACCUAGGCGACGAUCCCUAGCUGGUCUGAGAGGAUGACCAGCCACACUGGAACUGAGACACGGUCCAGACUCCUACGGGAGGCAGCAGUGGGGAAUAUUGCACAAUGGGCGCAAGCCUGAUGCAGCCAUGCCGCGUGUAUGAAGAAGGCCUUCGGGUUGUAAAGUACUUUCAGCGGGGAGGAAGGCGAUGUGGUUAAUAACCGCAUCGAUUGACGUUACCCGCAGAAGAAGCACCGGCUAACUCCGUGCCAGCAGCCGCGGUAAUACGGAGGGUGCAAGCGUUAAUCGGAAUUACUGGGCGUAAAGCGCACGCAGGCGGUCUGUUAAGUCAGAUGUGAAAUCCCCGGGCUUAACCUGGGAACUGCAUUUGAAACUGGCAGGCUUGAGUCUUGUAGAGGGGGGUAGAAUUCCAGGUGUAGCGGUGAAAUGCGUAGAGAUCUGGAGGAAUACCGGUGGCGAAGGCGGCCCCCUGGACAAAGACUGACGCUCAGUG